Molecule: ribosomal RNA, 428 nt
Filed under: uncultured prokaryote
Description: bacterial SSU rRNA
Rfam family: Bacterial small subunit ribosomal RNA
Source: RNAcentral
UCGGGAAUCUUGCACAAUGGGCGAAAGCCUGAUGCAGCAACGCCGUGUGAGCGAGGAAGGUCUUCGGAUCGUAAAGCUCUGUUGUUGGGGACGAAGGGCGAAGGGUUAAUAGCCCCUAGCCUGACGGUACCCUUCGAGGAAGUCCCGGCUAACUCCGUGCCAGCAGCCGCGGUAAUACGGAGGGGACUAGCGUUGUUCGGAAUUACUGGGCGUAAAGCGCGCGUAGGCGGACUAUUAAGUCAGGGGUGAAAUCCCGGGGCUCAACCCCGGAACUGCCCUUGAUACUGGUCGUCUUGAGUUCGAGAGAGGUGAGUGGAACUCCGAGUGUAGAGGUGAAAUUCGUAGAUAUUCGGAAGAACACCAGUGGCGAAGGCGGCUCACUGGCUCGAUACUGACGCUGAGGUGCGAAAGCGUGGGGAGCAAACAGG